RNAcentral lists this ribosomal RNA (253 nucleotides) under uncultured bacterium. Its description in RNAcentral is "partial 16S ribosomal RNA". It matches the Rfam family "Bacterial small subunit ribosomal RNA", at positions 524 to 776 of the family's 1533-position model. The record is from RNAcentral.
UACGUAGGUGGCAAGCGUUGUCCGGAUUUACUGGGCGGAAAGAGCGCGCAGGCGGUCGUUCAAGUCGCGUGUGAAAGCCCCCGGCUCAACUGGGGAGGGUCACGCGAUACUGAUCGACUCGAAGGCAGGAGAGGGUAGUGGAAUUCCCGGUGUAGUGGUGAAAUGCGCAGAUAUCAGGAGGAACACCGGUGGCGAAGGCGGAUCUCUGGGCCAUUACUGACGCUGAGGAGCGAAAGCGUGGGGAGCGAACAGG